AUUUAAGAGGAAGGAUUUGUUCUGAUUGCAACCUCGUAAAAAAAUGCUAAAGCAGUAAUA
This is a regulatory RNA element of Flavobacteriaceae bacterium, 60 nucleotides long. The record is from Rfam. NCBI's taxonomy places the organism in Bacteria, Pseudomonadati, Bacteroidota, Flavobacteriia, Flavobacteriales, Flavobacteriaceae.